UGGCGUGUGGUCCAAACGGCAGGACACCGCACUGUUAAUGCGGGUGAUGUGGGUUCGAAUCCCGCCACGCCAG
RNAcentral lists this transfer RNA (73 nucleotides) under Pseudonocardia sp. RNAcentral describes it as "tRNA-Asn". It matches the Rfam family "tRNA". From Rfam's summary of the family: Transfer RNA (tRNA) molecules are approximately 80 nucleotides in length. Their secondary structure includes four short double-helical elements and three loops (D, anti-codon, and T loops). Lineage: Bacteria; Bacillati; Actinomycetota; Actinomycetes; Pseudonocardiales; Pseudonocardiaceae. The record is from RNAcentral.